GGCGUUGUGGCUCAGUGGUAGAGCACUUGCCUCAUAUGUGUGAGGCACCAGGUUCAAUCCUCAGUACCA
RNAcentral lists this transfer RNA (69 nucleotides) under Urocitellus parryii (Arctic ground squirrel). Its description in RNAcentral is "Spermophilus parryii (Arctic ground squirrel) tRNA". It matches the Rfam family "tRNA". Rfam says of the family: Transfer RNA (tRNA) molecules are approximately 80 nucleotides in length. RNAcentral also lists the same sequence under 2 other names. Lineage: Eukaryota; Metazoa; Chordata; Mammalia; Rodentia; Sciuridae. The record is from Rfam by way of RNAcentral.